GCCCGGGUGGUGAAACUGGCAGACACAGAGUACUUAAAAUCCUCCGCCUCAUGGCAUGCGGGUUCGAGUCCCGCCCCGGGUA
Molecule: transfer RNA, 82 nt
Filed under: Myxococcales bacterium
Lineage: Bacteria; Pseudomonadati; Myxococcota; Myxococcia; Myxococcales
Description: tRNA-Leu
Rfam family: tRNA
About the family: Transfer RNA (tRNA) molecules are approximately 80 nucleotides in length. Their secondary structure includes four short double-helical elements and three loops (D, anti-codon, and T loops).
Source: RNAcentral